Long non-coding RNA from Passer domesticus (house sparrow), 1551 nucleotides. RefSeq lists it as uncharacterized. The transcript has 2 exons. NCBI's taxonomy places the organism in Eukaryota, Metazoa, Chordata, Aves, Passeriformes, Passeridae. The record is from RefSeq and is a predicted model, not a curated record.
CGCCCUCCGCGGCCCUCGGGCCGCCGCUCCCUGCCGUGGGACAGGCACAACUGGUAAUAAAGUUGCCUCUGCCUCCCACAUCAAUAUUGCUUGCGAACCUCCAACCUGUGCCUACAACGUGUUAUAGCGCUUGGGUCAGCGUUGGAAAACAGCAAGCUGGUACUUUCCAACAGAGCUUUUUGAGGAAUAGUGUUGCUGCUUUUAUUGUCUUCAAGCAGAAACCAGGAUGUACUCUGGGCUCACUCUUUGCAGUGAAACACUUUUGGGGAAAAAAAAAGAAGAAAAAAGAAGUAUUGCGAGAAGAAUAAACACAAGAAAGUGCUUAUUUGCAUAUUGGCUACACAGAAAUGAAGAUCCUGCUGUGGAAGACACAGAUUCAAAAGAAUCAUAGAUUACUUGGUGAUGGUACGAGAAAACAGGAACUCAAAGGGUGGGGAUCUGAAUUAUCACAGAGAUGCUGAGAUUUCUUUUUUGUUCUCUUAUGACAAGAAUUAUACAAAAGACCACUUUGAGUGCUUGUUCUUCAUUAGACACUUCUCCAGAAGAUUGAAAAACAAGGACAAUUAUUGCAUUAACUGAAUUUUAAAUUUAAAGCCUAACAUGUAAAAUUAUCAUAAAACAGGUGAAGUCCUUGCAGUGAUAUACUUAAAAAUACUGAAAAACUUGAUAUAAAGGUCACUCUUCCAUAUAAGAUUUGUCAGAAAAGCUAUGAACUAGCUAUGUGGUGUGAUGUACUCAUCUGCUGUGCUAGAGAGAAUAGAUGAGAAAAUAUCAUGCAGCCUAAUGAAAUAUUAGAGCAAAAAUCUGACCUAAAGGUAGGCAUUGGUUAUCACCAUAGGAUAUUUAGAUUUAAGGCACUCUAAACUCCUGUGUUGCUUCCUUGUGACCCUUUGACAUGCACCAUGCCAUGAAGUGGUAUAAUGACCCACUCUCUUCUAGUCUUCAAACCCCACAACAUUUGUCAAUCCAUUUGACAGUGUAGUACUUGAUUGCCUUGAUUUGACCGCUAUGAUAACAAUUUCAGAACAGGCCAGAAGUAACUUCAUAUCUGUGUGCUGAUUUAGGUUUUGCAGAGAGAGGGUGCACACCAUUUUAUCUGUGUACUAGCAAGCUAGCUGAAAAGUGGAAUAUGUCAGUAUUUGAAACUGAGUUUACACACAAAUAACCUGAAAGAAAAAACUUUAGCAGACUUUCCUUUAUUUGGCAUCUUCUGAGUUGCUGUUUUGAGCAAAGGUAUAACAGAACUCUACUAGAUUGUUGGUUCUACUAGACCUUUGCUUGAAACAGCAAUUCAGAAGAUGCCAAAUGAAUUCUAUAUGGAAAGAGAUGUGUUAAAUAUUGCUAGGUUAUGGAUGCCUAAGGCUAGAACAUGAGUCCAGAUGGCUGAAGUUCAACAGAUGCCACAGAACUACAGAACUUGCAUAAAUAUGUGAUGUCAAGUGUGGGAAACCAGAGUGACGUUUUUCUGUGCAAGUAUGAAAGCCUGAGUAUUUUGUAUUUUAAAAAAAUAAGUUCCCAGUCUUACAUUUUCAUUAAAAAAUGAAAAAAGAA